RNAcentral lists this ribosomal RNA (301 nucleotides) under uncultured bacterium. RNAcentral's name for it is "partial 16S ribosomal RNA". It matches the Rfam family "Bacterial small subunit ribosomal RNA", at positions 509 to 807 of the family's 1533-position model. The record is from RNAcentral.
CAGCCGCCGCGGGAAUGCGUAGGUGGCGAGCGUUGUCCGGAAUUAUUGGGCGUAAAGGGCUCGCAGGCGGUUUCUUAAGUCUGAUGUGAAAGCCCCCGGCUCAACCGGGGAGGGUCAUUGGAAACUGGGAAACUUGAGUGCAGAAGAGGAGAGUGGAAUUCCACGUGUAGCGGUGAAAUGCGUAGAGAUGUGGAGGAACACCAGUGGCGAAGGCGACUCUCUGGUCUGUAACUGACGCUGAGGAGCGAAAGCGUGGGGAGCGAACAGGAUUAGAUACCCCAGUAGUCCCUGUCUCUUAUAC